This 469-nucleotide ribosomal RNA is filed under the name uncultured bacterium. RNAcentral's name for it is "bacterial SSU rRNA". It matches the Rfam family "Bacterial small subunit ribosomal RNA", at positions 329 to 795 of the family's 1533-position model. The record is from RNAcentral.
UUCCAGACUCCUACGGGAGGCAGCAGUGAGGAAUAUUGGUCAAUGGGCGAGAGCCUGAACCAGCCAAGUCGCGUGAAGGAUGACGGCCCUACGGGUUGUAAACUUCUUUUGUCAGGGAGCAAUUGGGUCCACGCGUGGGCUUAGCGAGAGUACCUGAAGAAAAAGCAUCGGCUAACUCCGUGCCAGCAGCCGCGGUAAUACGGAGGAUGCGAGCGUUAUCCGGAUUUAUUGGGUUUAAAGGGAGCGUAGAUGGGUUGUUAAGUCAGUUGUGAAAGUUUGCGGCUCAACCGUAAAAUUGCAAUUGAUACUGGCAGCCUUGAGUACAGUUGAGGUAGGCGGAAUUCGUGGUGUAGCGGUGAAAUGCUUAGAUAUCACGAAGAACUCCGAUUGCGAAGGCAGCCUACUAAACUGCCACUGACAUUGAUGCUCGAAAGUGUGGGUAUCAAACAGGAUUAGAUACCCUUGUAUC